RNAcentral lists this ribosomal RNA (498 nucleotides) under uncultured bacterium. RNAcentral's name for it is "partial 16S ribosomal RNA". It matches the Rfam family "Bacterial small subunit ribosomal RNA", at positions 28 to 508 of the family's 1533-position model. The record is from RNAcentral.
GAUGAACGCUGGCGGCGUGCCUAAUACAUGCAAGUCGAGCGAACAGACGAGGAGCUUGCUCCUCUGACGUUAGCGGCGGACGGGUGAGUAACACGUGGAUAACCUACCUAUAAGACUGGGAUAACUUCGGGAAGCCGGAGCUAAUACCGGAUAAUAUAUUGAACCGCAUGGUUCAAUAGUGAAAGACGGUUUUGCUGUCACUUAUAGAUGGAUCCGCGCCGCAUUAGCUAGUUGGUAAGGUAACGGCUUACCAAGGCGACGAUGCGUAGCCGACCUGAGAGGGUGAUCGGCCACACUGGAACUGAGACACGGUCCAGACUCCUACGGGAGGCAGCAGUAGGGAAUCUUCCGCAAUGGGCGAAAGCCUGACGGAGCAACGCCGCGUGAGUGAUGAAGGGCUUCGGAUCGUAAAACUCUGUUAUUAGGGAAGAACAAAUGUGUAAGUAACUAUGCACGUCUUGACGGUACCUAAUCAGAAAGCCACGGCUAACUACGUGC